RNAcentral lists this long non-coding RNA (3915 nucleotides) under Capra hircus (goat). Its description in RNAcentral is "lncRNA (ENSCHIG00010016059.1)". The record is from RNAcentral. Lineage: Eukaryota; Metazoa; Chordata; Mammalia; Artiodactyla; Bovidae.
AUGCCCCAGCCCCUCCCAGGCCCCGAGGCUCUCCUCUCCCCACCCCAAGGGCGGCCACACCAGAGUCACCCCACUCAAAUCCCCACCAUUUCCACCCAUGCCCUGGCCAGGCUCCAAGGCCAUCAGCACAGAGCGUGCAGAGCAGCCAGCCUCUGGCCUCGGCCUCCCAUUUCAAAGGCUUCCUCCUCCCUGAUGUUCUCACACCCACCACAGAGGUGGCGGUCCACAGAGGGAACAGUCACAGAGGCCACGGUCCAUGGGGGGACAGUCCACGGAGGUGAUGGUCCACAGAGGCCACGGUCCACAGAGGCGACGGUCCAGAGGCUGCGGUCCACAGUCCACAGAGGGCACGGUCCACGGAGGCCGCAGUCCACAGAGGCACUGGGCCAGACGUGUGUGGACAAACCAGGGGCCCCGAUACCCUCAGAGAACAGGGACCUGAGAGGGGCCGCCAUACCGAGAACCCGACCCCGCUGCCACCUGACCCCCGACCCCACAGGCUGCCCCUUGGGGCGCUGGGACCCCCCGGGACCCCGCCCUACGAAUAGCUUCAGAGAAACACCAUUACCCAGCCCAGCUGUCCCCUAGAGCCCCAACCCCAUAGGCCGCUCCCUGGGGCGCUGGGACCCCCCAGGACACCACCCUACAAACAGCUUCAGAGAAACAGCCUCUCCCAGCCCAGCCGCCCCCCAGGCCCCAACCCUGCAGGCUGCGCCCUGCGGUGCUGGGACCCCCCCCCUCGCCGGGACCCUGCCCUAUGAACAGCUUCAGAGAAACAGCCUCUCUGGGCCUAGCUGUCCCCUAGAGCCCCGACCCUGUGGGCCGCUCCCUGGGGUGCUGGGAUGCCCCCCCCGGGACCCAGCCCUACAAACAACUUCAGAGAAACAGCCUCUCACAGCCCAGUCGCCCCCCAAGCCCCGACCCCGCAGGCUUCGCCCUGUGGUGCUGGGACCACCCCCCCCUCGCCGGGACCCUGCCCUACAAACAGCUUCAGAGAAACAGCCUCUCCCUGACCCCGUGAUGGCCGCAGGGGCCCUGGGAGAAGGUAGACAGAGGGACGAGCAGAAAUAGAAGACCCUUGGUCUUCCGGGCACAAAGAGGCGAGGCAGGAGGUGGACGGGCCUGGGAGCCAGGCAGAGCGUCCACCUCGUGGCUCUCUGACGAGCCGAGGGCCUGGCCGGCCAACCGCUGGGCCUCAUCCCAUCACCUGGGAACGGGGCGACAAACGGCCGCGGAGGCACCAGCACUGGACCCGGCAAGCGGCACAGCCCCGCCAGCCCCGAGCACCGCGUCCAGCCACGGGUGGCGCCACACUCCCUGAGGCCCAGACUCCUCCGGGCUCUGGGGGGCUGCGGCCGGCCCGGCCCGGAGUCCUGUCCCAGGGCCCACCCCACCCCACCUGCAGAGGGCCCUAAGCCGAGCCGACACCCGCCCUUGCCGACGGCUGGAGCACAGGGACCAGCCGGCCCUGCCCACGGGGACAGCCGCGUGGUGGUCUGCACCCCCCCAGAAGGGGCAUCUCGGGGGCCGCCCAGGGUGCUGGCGGUGACGCCAUGCAGACCCCCAGAACCUCACCCAGCCACGAAGCCCUGGGGGCCACUAAUUGGCCCUCCACUUCCGUAACUCUGCCACCGUGAGAACGUCACUUAAACAGUGUCCCGCAGGACGGGAGCUCGAGGGCCGGCUUUGCCCUUCAGCAAGCUGCCUGGAGGCUCACCCCGCCCGCCGUGUGUGUGAGCAGCUCGUCCCCUUUUCUGGCCGACCGCUCUCCCACGGCAUGGAGCCCAAGCUUAUUUAUCUACUUGCCUGCUGAGGGAUACCUGGGUUGUUUCCAGUUUCGGGCUUUUACAAAGAAAGCUGCUAUGACAAGUUAACGUACAGGUUUUCACGUGAACGUAAUUUUCCACUUCUCUGGGAUAAAGGCCCAAGGGUGCAGCUGCCAGGUCACACGGCAGUCCCACGUCCAGUUUUCUAAGAACCUGCUCAGGUGUCUUCCGGGCCAUUAUGGCUGCCAUUCCCAGCAGCAACGGACGAGGGCCCAGCUCCUCUGCGUCCGCACGGGUGGGUUUCACUCUGACCAUCCCGAUGGGUGUGGACCGACAGCCCCCUGGGGUUUGCUCUGCAUCUCCCUGCUGCCCGAGGAGCUGGGCGUGUCCCGGGGCUCGCUCUCCAUCCCAGGGUCCUCUGCGGGCGAGCGUCUCUUCGACUCUGUUCAGAUUCUAACUGGACUACUUGGUUUCCGGGUUGUUGAAUCGACGGAGAUCUUUACAUGUUCUGGAUGCCAGUCCUCGUUCAGAUGUGAAUCAGCAGCUUGUCCUUCAUCCCACGUGCCUCACGCUGGCCCCUCCAGAAGAGAAGGUCACUGGAGACAGUGUAUCCGCUGACCCCACAUCGCGGGCAGUGCCCAGGUGCAUAUGGGCCCCGAGCAGACACAGGAUAAAAGCCUUGGGGCGAUUAUCUCCAGAAAGCCCUGAGUUCCUUGGCGUGGCCCACUUACAUCUAAACGUCACUCCUACGCCCAGAUAAAGAGCCCCUUGUGUGCUUAGCUGUGAAGGAACUCUUCCCCUAACGAGUCUCAGAGGCACCAGCAGAGGUCAGAGAACACGGCUCACAUAACAAAGACCGUCUGGAGCUCUCAUCCUGCUCCUGGGGGGAGGGGCACACGCCGAGCUGUGACCAACAGGCUGUCCCCCGGGGCUCAGGGCCGGCGAGCCCCAGCCUGAAGCCCAGAGCCCUCUGCACCCCUCUGCCACAGGGGUGUCCAAGGGCAAGACCUCUGGCCCCUCCUGGCCAGCCCUGCCCUGCCACCCGCCUCCGCUGCCCACCGGAGCCCACCGGGCCUCCACAGCCAGUCCAUGCCGCUGGGAACCCGGUCUUCUUCACAAGAGCAUGGAGAAGGAGGAACACUGUGGGAUCCGUUUGCCAAGGGAAGCGCGAGACUCGUCCCCGAGAACUACAGGAGCCUGCUGAGAAGGCGCAGAUCCGGCGAGACGGAGACGCACUCCUGUCCGUCGGGAGAAACCUCGAUGCCGGGAAGAUGCCAGUUCUGUGUCAAACCGAUCUACAGACUCAACGUGGGCUUUCAAAAUAGAAAGUUAUCUAAAAUUCAUAUGGAAACGCAAAGGACCUAAAAUAGUCCAGACGGUUCUGCAAAAGAAGAAUGAAGUGAGAGGAUGUACAUGACCCGGUUUCCAGACACUGUGGAGCCACGCCCGUGCAGACUGGGGCUGGUGAGACGACGCGGCACACGGACUGUGGGGCAGAACCCGGAGCCCAGAAGUGAGCCCUCUCCCUGACGGCCAGCUGAUCAUGAACGAGGCGCCAAGACGUGUCCACGAGCCUCUCUGGCGAGUGGAGCUGGACACCCGGACAGCCACAUAACCACCCAGCCUCAGACCCUGACCUCACGGCACACACGGCAACUCAGAGGGGCACAGACCUCAACGGGAGAGCUAGAAGGACCAGCCUUUCAGAAGAAGGCGUGAGUCUCUGCUAACGCGCUUGAGGCAAAGUCUUGGACCGCAGACAACAGAAGCAGGAUGCUUGGAAGAAAAAGACAAACUGGACUUUAGAGCCUUGCUGGGCUCCCUGGCGGCUCACCCGGUGGCUCGGGGGCAAAGACUCCGCCUGCCAACACAGGGGACACCGGUUCCAUCCCUGGCCCAGGAAGACCCCGCAAACUGCGGCGCAGCCAAGCCCGUGAGCCUGUGCCCUGGGGCCCCAGAAGUGCUGGCGCCAAGCGCACAGGCCACGACUGCUGAAGCGCCGAUAGCUCGUGCUCUGCAAAGCGAGGAACCCCGCCGCGAGAAGCCCGACGGCAGGAGCAGAGAGGGCCCCACUCGCCACAGCCAGAGGGGCCUGUGCAGCAGCCGGGCCCAGACAGCCUGUCAGGGGUCUACCCAAGAAGGUGGACGC